GAUACGUAGACUUAGGAGGAUCGUAUGUUGGACCAUCUCAAAAUCAUCUCUUCAGAUUGUCCAAGGAAUUGGGAGUAGAAAACUACAUAAUAGAAGAGAAUGAAAAGCUCUUAUUUUAUUCUAAAGGAAAAAGAUAUCCUUAUCUUGCAGCAUCUCCAGUGUCUUUUUGGAAUCCAUUGGUACAAAUGGAUGUUAAUAAUUUCUUAAGAACUAUCGAUAAAAUGGGCGAAGAGAUUCCUGUCAAUGAACCUUGGAAAGCACCACAUGCCGAGGAAUGGGAUACUAUGACUUAUCACGAUUUUUGUGAAAAGAUCUGUUAUACAAGGCAGGGUAAAGCUAUAGCUAAUAUUCUUAUUGAAUUAUAUAUGGUUUCUUCAAGUUACGAAAGUUCACUUUUAUGGAUUUUAUGGUACACCAAACUAUGUCAGGGCACAAUGAAAAUGAUGAAUGUAUCAAACGGAGGACAAGAAAGAAAAUUCGUUGGAGGAAGUCAACAAAUAAGUGAACGUAUUGCAGCUAGAUUGGGAGAUGCAGUAAAAAUGAAUUCACCAGUUGUAAACAUAAUUCAAAAGAACGAAGAAGUAAUAGUGAAAACGUUAAAUGGAAAUACAUAUACAGCAAAUUUUGUAAUUUUGGCCAUUCCACCUAUUUUACAAAUGAAAAUUCAUUACGAUCCACCACUUCCUGCUGUAAGAAAUCAAAUGAUCCAAAGAUGUCCAAUGGGAUCUGUCAUGAAAUGCAUCUUAUAUUAUCGAACGCAGUUCUGGAGACAAAAAGGUUACUGUGGUUCAACUUUGGUUGAUACGGAUGAUGGCAAUCCAAUUGCUGCUACAUAUGAUGACACUAAACCCGAUGGAAGCUAUCCAGCCUUGAUAGGAUUUGUAGGAGCAGACAAAGUACGAAAUUUAACUCCUCUUUCAAAAGAAGAAAGAAAGAACAUUUUUGCCAAAUGUCUUUAUAAUGUGUUCGGCUUGAGUGAAUUUCUAGAGCCAAUACAUUACGAAGAAUAUAAUUGGAUGGAAGAACAAUAUUCGGGAGGUUGUUACACGGCUAUGUUUCCCCCGGGAUUUUUAACCAGAUAUGGAAAGAACAGAAACUGGAACUACUUGGACGGGAUAUAUGGAAGGUGCUAUUCAAGCAGGAGAAAGAGCUGCUAGAGAGGUACUUUAUGCAAUGGGAAAGAUUCGAGAAGAAGAAAUAUGGCAAACAGAAGCUCCCGCAAAUGAUGUGGUUGAUCUUCCAUUUAAACGAACGUGGUGGGAAAGAAAUCAACCUUCCGUUCCAGGCUUCUUCCGUUUAUUAGGCUUUACAAUAUUCACAGGAUUAGCCGUUUCGAUGAUUUACAAAUGCAGGCAUCGUUUUCAAU
RNAcentral lists this unclassified non-coding RNA (1366 nucleotides) under Centruroides sculpturatus (bark scorpion). RNAcentral describes it as "amine oxidase [flavin-containing] B-like, transcript variant X2". Lineage: Eukaryota; Metazoa; Arthropoda; Arachnida; Scorpiones; Buthidae. The record is from RNAcentral.